GCAUUUGAAUAACAAGUACACCCAACAUUAAAUAACAGGUACAACAAGUAAAUAUACACCCAAAUCCUAGCAAGAUCAGCAUUACAUCAAAAUUCCAAGCACAUUUUGCACAAGUUCAAUAACAUAUAAAGCGAGCCGCUAACUGGGGCUUCGAGCUUCUUCGAAUUUCUUUGGCCGAGGAACUCCUAUAAAUGAGAGGGAAAACAGAUUAGUCACAAGUACACAAGCACUGUUUGCAUCAGUACAUCGACACUCGCAAGUAAUACAUCAUUCACUUAAAACAUCUAAAGUGAAAUAGAUACAUGACAUGACACAUGAGGCAGAUGUUGCCAAACAAAGAUGGCACCUAUAUAGACCUUGAAAAAAACCAUACAAGUCAGUGAAGCUCCAACACAUCACUCAUGGACUAAAAUAACAAGAUAAAGCAUCACUAGGGAUGCAUACUAAUUUUACUAAUAUGUUUUAAUUGUCUACUUUGGAGUUGCAGUAUCUCUUAACAGCAUGCUACACUCUGAACUUAGUGUUCAUAGCAACAUAUGAAGUGAGGAGAUUUGAAUAGAUUUUUCAAAUACAUGUGCUGGUAUGGGAAUGCUUCUCUAGAAUGAUGUACAUGUGCAUAGAUUUUCAAAUAAAUAUGAGGACUCCUAGAACAAUCAGAGAAUGAAUGAAUGCAGAAGGCAAAGCAUCAUCAUAGAUGAAGGCAUCACCAGAAUUCAUACUUACAUGGAGAGACACUAUCAUGCAGGAAUAGGUAUGGAUUGUCAAAAGUUGCUUUAUCCUACUAUCACUAGUACAACAAGCUGCAGGUUGGCAUAUCCAUGAACCAUGUACCUCAUGACAGAUAUAAUAUAUCAUCUAAUGCUCGACUAUGACAAACGUUAAGCAAUUACACCUCACAAAGGCAAAGCAAAGAAUCAUGGAGCGAGUAGGAGGGGUAGAAGGGGACCUAAGGAGCUCAUCGGAAGUGGUUGUAGCCUAGGCUGAGC
This 986-nucleotide long non-coding RNA is filed under the name Triticum aestivum (bread wheat). RNAcentral's name for it is "long non-coding RNA (TAES_LNC005751)". Lineage: Eukaryota; Viridiplantae; Streptophyta; Magnoliopsida; Poales; Poaceae. The record is from RNAcentral.